RNAcentral lists this long non-coding RNA (194 nucleotides) under Phascolarctos cinereus (koala). RNAcentral describes it as "lncRNA (ENSPCIG00000035917.1)". The record is from RNAcentral. Lineage: Eukaryota; Metazoa; Chordata; Mammalia; Diprotodontia; Phascolarctidae.
AUGAACCAACUAGGAGCAAGAAGAAAACGACACUACUUAUUUGUAACACCUAAGAUUGGUAAAUCAAGGAAUCAUCAUAAUCCAUUCCAUCUCUGGCCAUCUAUAUGCCAUGCUCCAGAGUUCUGGCCUCAGCCCCAGAUUGGUGAGCAUUCACCAUAAUUAGUCCAUACUAUCCUACUUUUUCCCACCCCAUC